GAUGAAGAACGUAGCGAAAUGCGAUACGUAAUGUGAAUUGCAGAAUUCAGUGAAUCAUCGAGUCUUUGAACGCACAUUGCGCCCCCUGGUAUUCCGGGGGGCAUGCCUGUUCGAGCGUCAUUUCACCACUCAAGCCUCGCUUGGUAUUGGGCAACGCGGUCCGCCGCGUGCCUCAAAUCGACCGGCUGGGUCUUCUGUCCCCUAAGCGUUGUGGAAACUUUCGCUAAAGGGUGUUCGGGAGGCUACGCCGUAAAACAACCCCAUUUCUAAGGUUUACCUCGGAUCAGGUAGGGAUACCCGCUGAACUUAAGCAUAUCAAUAAGCGGAGGA
RNAcentral lists this unclassified non-coding RNA (330 nucleotides) under soil metagenome. RNAcentral describes it as "partial contains 5.8S ribosomal RNA, internal transcribed spacer 2, and large subunit ribosomal RNA". The stretch from base 1 to 120 matches the Rfam family "5.8S ribosomal RNA", at positions 35 to 154 of the family's 154-position model. The record is from RNAcentral.